GAUGAACGCUGGCGGCGUGCCUAAUACAUGCAAGUCGAGCGAACAGACGAGGAGCUUGCUCCUCUGACGUUAGCGGCGGACGGGUGAGUAACACUUGGAUAACCUACCUAUAAGACUGGGAUAACUUCGGGAAACCGGAGCUAAUACCCGAUAAUAUAUUGAACCGCAUGGUUCAAUAGUUAAAGACGGUUUUGCUGUCACUUAUAGAUUGAUCCGCGCCGCAUUAGCUAGUUGGUAAGGUAACGGCUUACCAAGGCAACGAUGCGUAGCCGACCUGAGAGGGUGAUCGGCCACACUGGAACUGAGACACGGUCCAGACUCCUACGGGAGGCAGCAGUAGGGAAUCUUCCGCAAUGGGCGAAAGCUUGACGGAGCAACGCCGCGUGAGUGAUGAAGGUCUUCGGAUCGUAAAACUCUGUUAUUAGGGAAGAACAAAUGUGUAAGUAACUAUGCACGUCUUGACGGUACCUAAUCAGAAAGCCACGGCUAACUACGUG
Molecule: ribosomal RNA, 497 nt
Filed under: uncultured bacterium
Lineage: Bacteria
Description: partial 16S ribosomal RNA
Rfam family: Bacterial small subunit ribosomal RNA
Source: RNAcentral